UCACUGGCAACAUUCGCUUACAGCAUCUUCUUUACUGAUUUUGUUGGUAUAUAUAUAGGGGAUGGUGUGUUGUGACAUUUCAAACACAUUCUCCUGCAGCGAGUAGUUAAGUACUUUUGAGGAAAAUGAAUUUCUGGUUUUCUCUUCUGAUUGUGGUGGCCAUCGUUACGUGCAGCAUGGCUCAGUGGUCCUACAGCAACUAUAACUGGAACAUGCGUAGGUCUGCCUAUCCUUAUGCCUAUAACUGGAAUAGUUAUUCGGACAACUGGAAUAACCCUUCUUACUACUGGAAAUGAACAGGAACUGAAUACAAACAGAGAAUUUGAAACUGAUACUUGGACACCGGAUUUGGAUUGAAAAUUAUCUUCUCUUAUAAAGUUAUGCAAGUCUUCUCUAACUAACACAAGUCUUUCCUUGAACAAUAAAAAUCAUAAAACUGCA
Long non-coding RNA from Uloborus diversus, 441 nucleotides. RefSeq lists it as uncharacterized. The record is from RefSeq and is a predicted model, not a curated record. The transcript is spliced from 3 exons. NCBI's taxonomy places the organism in Eukaryota, Metazoa, Arthropoda, Arachnida, Araneae, Uloboridae.